GUUUGUUUCGUUUCUAUCUCGCGCGAAAUGCGCUAUCUCUCCAGGCGCUCAUCACGCAGGAGCUGGCGCUGGAUCGCAUUGCGAUUCUAUCAUAAUGCCGCGGUAUGUGAAAUCGUGGUUGGCUCUCGGCACGACAAGGCGGAAGCGAGCAGCGUCUUCUCGGUGCUGGCGGCAUUGCGAUCGUGCGCGAGCGCCAAGAAUCUGGAGAGGGGGAAGAGAGUUCACGCGCAGGCCAUGGAAAGGGGCUACGAUUCCAACGUUUUCGUGGCAAACAGCCUGGUAAACAUGUACGCCAAGUGUGGGAGCUUGGUGGAGGCUCGCCGGGUGUUCGAUAGGAUCCAGUCGCGAGACGUGGUCUCCUGGAACUCCCUGCUACUGGGCUAUGCGUCACAGGGAGAAGAAGACGCUGCUCUCAAGCUCUUCUCGAGGAUGGAGUCUAGCGGCUGCUCUCCAAACGGUGGAAGCUACAUCGCUGCUCUCAAAGCUUGCAUCCGCUUGGCCGGGAAAGAGGAAGGGACCGCUCAAGCAGAUGGAAGACUUGUGAAGAUCGCGUCUCUCGGCAAAGGGAUCGCGAUCCACACGCAGGCUUCCAAGGCCGGCUGGGAGUCGGAUAUCUUCGUCGCGAGCACGCUCGUGGAUUUCUACGCGAAGUGUGGCCACAUGACAGAAGCUAGCAGGAUCUUCUCCAGGAUGUCUCACCACGACGUGGUGUCCUGGACGACUUUGAUACUGGGCUACGCUGAGAACGGGGAAGGAGAUGUGGCUCUCGAGCAUUUCUUCCGGAUGAUCGCGCAGUGCUGCCAGCCAAACGCCCUCACUUGCGUCGCGGCGCUCAAGGCUUGCAUGACGCUGGCAGCGAAAGAACAAGGGAGGCUGGUCACUGGAAAGAUGGUGAAGCUGGAAUCACUUGAAAAGGGAAUGGCCGUGCACCGCGAAGCGUCCAAGCUCGGCUGUGACACACACACGUUCGUCUCAAACUCACUUGUGGACAUGUACUCCAAGUGUGGAAGCAUGGCCGACGCUCACCGCGUGUUUUCCCGGAUGUCGUGCCACAGCGUGGUUUCCUGGACGUCGCUGAUACUGGGAUACGUCGAGAAUGGCGAUGGUGAAAUGGCUCUAGCGGUUUACUCGAGCAUGAGGCCGGAAGCUUGCGCACCAGACGCCAGGACUUUCGUUGCGGCGCUAAAUGCUAUCAACGAGCUGGCUGCGAAAGAGCAAGGCGAGCUAGUCGACGGGAAGCUUGUGAAGCUCGAGUGCCUGAAGAAGGGGAUGCGGAUUCACUCGCAGGCCGAGGGAAGCGGCUGCGCAGACUACUUCUUCAUCAACACGCUGGUGGACUUGUACGCGAAGUGUGGGAGUUUGGCCGAUGCUCACCGUGUCUUCGACAGCAUUCCCUCCCAGACAUCAGUCUCGUGGACAACGCUACUGCUGGGAUACGCCGAGAACGGUGAAGGCGAGAUGGCUUUGGAGCUCUUCCGGCGUAUGAGACCUCGAGGAUGCGAGCCCGACGCUCGGACCUUUGCGGCCGUGUUGAAAGCAUGCGGCAGCGUUUUGGCACUCGAGAACGCGAAGGUCAUCUAUGGUGAAGUCUGUAGAGGUGGCUACGAGAAUGACGUGAUUCUAUCCAACACCAUGGUCGACGCAUUGGCGAGAUGCGGGAGCCUGGACGCUGCUCAACGAGUCUUCGACGUUUCCAUCGCCAAGGACAUUGUGCUAUGGACGACGCUUAUAGCAGGAUACAGCCGCCAAGGCGAGGCAAGCCAGGUGUUCCAUCUCUUUCACGAGAUACUGGACGAAGGCUUCAAGGCGGACAGCGUGACUUUGCUGUGCGUGCUCGCGGUUUGCAGCUAUGCCGGCCUCGUGGGCAAAGGCCGGGGUCUCUUCAGCUCGAUGGCUUCCAGAUAUGGCGUCUCUCCCGGCUUCGAGCACCACCACUGCAUGCUCGACAUACUUUGCCGUGCCAACCAGCUGGACGCUGCCGUGCAACUCAUACGAUCGAUGCCUUUCGAGCCGACUGCGGUGACAUGGAGGACGGUCCUCGGUGCUUGCCGGAAGUGGAAGAAUGUGGUGCUUGGCGAGCUCGCUUUCGCGAAUCUACUGAAGCUGGACGACUCCGAGUUUGGAGUCUAUAUCCUGAUGGAACAGAUAUACUGGAGCCUGGGAAUGUGGGAGGAGCACGCCAGGAUCGAGACAAUGAGGAUCAGUGCUGGAGCUUGGAGAAAGCCUGGACAGGGUCGCAGCUGGUGGACGGACAGCGCGGGAGUGGUGCAUAAGUUCUCGGCUGGUGAUUCUAGCCACGCACAGAUUGACGAGAUCCGGGCGAAGCUGGACGAUCUCCUGGUGGCCAUGAAAGAGCAAGGAUACGUCGCGGACGUGGGGAGUGUGCUGCGAAGCACGUCCGACGAGGACAAGGAGGAUGUCCUGUGCGGGCAUAGCGAGAGGCUCGCCAUCGCCUGUGCUCUUAUCAACACUGCGCCGGGGGCGACAGUCCGGAUCGUGAAGAACCUGAGAACUUGCGACGACUGCCACAGGGCGACUUGCAUGAUCUCCCGGAUAGAAGAGCGGCGGAUUCUGUGCAGGGAGACGAACAGGUUCCAUGUUUUCGAGGAUGGGAGGUGCUGCUGUGGAGGCUACUGGUAGAAGAAGCGUAGGUGUUGCUGUUUCGAGGAGUGAUUGGAAAUGCGAAACGCGCCACCCCUUCGUCGACGACUGUUUGGAGGCUUGGUAAGUUUCCUCGUUGUCUUUGUUUAAGCUUACGUUAUUCCAGGCAGAGGAAGUCUUUGUAUAUACUUUGGUGUUUUGCAGGACUUGGUGAUGGGGUUGUACUAGAAAGUGGUAAAGACUUGGUGAAUAAAUGUGAUUGAGAUCAUGUACCGGAGCCUCACGGACGGUGCUCCAGACGGAAGCCACAUCGCUGCUCUCAAAGCUUGCAUUCGCUUGGCCGGGAAAGAAGAAAGCGGAUGGAAGACUUGUAAAGGUCGCGUCUCUCCCCAAAGCUCGAUCCACUCGCAAGAUACUGAGUAGCUGAUGGAGAUGGCAUUUGAAAUACACGCACAGACUUCGGAUAGGCUAAAGACACCCGAAGAGAUUGCAAAGGAGGAGCUCGAGGCAGAAACUGAGAACUUGCGACGACUGUCACAGAGCGACUUGCAUGAUCUCCUGGAUAGAACAGCCGCAGCAGCACCUCCCAUCCUUGAAAACAUGGAACAUGUUCGUCUCCCUACACAGAAUCCGCCAAGGCUAGAACAAGUGUCCAGUUUCUCUCUGAUGUAUUAAAGUUUGCGGAGUGAUUUGAAGUGCGAAGCGCGCCACCAUCGCAAGCUUGAGAGAUCCUCGUCGGCAGUUCUUUCAGGACGUGUAGAUCAAACAAUGCGAAGCACCAAAUUCGGCCAAGUACGAAAGAGUGAUGUGUUCGAAUCCGUGCCCCGACAUGCUUGGGAAAAUAAAAGGAGUGAUCAGUUUGUUUUA
RNA transcript from Selaginella moellendorffii, 3468 nucleotides. It is a transcript of the gene named putative pentatricopeptide repeat-containing protein At3g49142, with no coding region annotated. The record is from RefSeq and is a predicted model, not a curated record. NCBI's taxonomy places the organism in Eukaryota, Viridiplantae, Streptophyta, Lycopodiopsida, Selaginellales, Selaginellaceae. The transcript has 5 exons.